Molecule: ribosomal RNA, 253 nt
Filed under: uncultured bacterium
Lineage: Bacteria
Description: partial 16S ribosomal RNA
Rfam family: Bacterial small subunit ribosomal RNA
Source: RNAcentral
GACGAACCUUGCUAACGUUAUUCGGAAUCACUGGGCAUAAAGGGCGCGUAGGCGGCUCCAAAAGUCAGGGGUGAAAUCCGGCAGCUUAACUGUCGCAGUGCCUUUGAUACUGUGGAGCUAGAGGGAGGUAGGGGUCUGUGGAACUUCCGGUGGAGCGGUGAAAUGCGUUGAUAUCGGAAGGAACGCCGGUGGCGAAAGCGACGGACUGGAUCUCUUCUGACGCUGAGGCGCGAAAGCCAGGGGAGCAAACGGG